Molecule: ribosomal RNA, 468 nt
Filed under: uncultured bacterium
Lineage: Bacteria
Description: partial 16S ribosomal RNA
Rfam family: Bacterial small subunit ribosomal RNA
Source: RNAcentral
GACGAACGCUGGCGGCGUGCUUAACACAUGCAAGUCGAACGGAAAGGCCCUGCUUUUGUGGGGUGCUCGAGUGGCGAACGGGUGAGUAACACGUGAGUAACCUGCCCUUGACUUUGGGAUAACUUCAGGAAACUGGGGCUAAUACCGGAUAGGAGCUCCUGCUGCAUGGUGGGGGUUGGAAAGUUUCGGCGGUUGGGGAUGGACUCGCGGCUUAUCAGCUUGUUGGUGGGGUAGUGGCUUACCAAGGCUUUGACGGGUAGCCGGCCUGAGAGGGUGGCCGGCCACAUUGGGACUGAGAUACGGACCAGACUCCUACGGGAGGCAGCAGUGGGGAGUAUUGCACAAUGGGCGGAAGCCUGAUGCAGCAACGCCGCGUGCGGGAUGACGGCCUUCGGGUUGUAAACCGCUUUCGCCUGUGACGAAGCGUGAGUGACGGUAAUGGGUAAAGAAGCACCGGCUAACUACGUG